AUUGAACGCUGGCGGCAGGCCUAACACAUGCAAGUCGAACGGUAGCACAGAGAGCUUGCUCUCGGGUGACGAGUGGCGGACGGGUGAGUAACGUCUGGGAAACUGCCCGAUGGAGGGGGAUAACUACUGGAAACGGUAGCUAAUACCGCAUAACGUCGCAAGACCAAAGUGGGGGACCUUCGGGCCUCACACCAUCGGAUGUGCCCAGAUGGGAUUAGCUAGUAGGUGGGGUAAUGGCUCACCUAGGCGACGAUCCCUAGCUGGUCUGUGAGGAUGACCAGCCACCCAGGAACUGAGACACGGGCCAGACUCCUACGGGAGGCAGCAGUGGGGAAUAUUGCACAAUGGGCGCAAGCCUGAUGCAGCCAUGCCGCGUGUAUGAAGAAGGCCUUCGGGUUGUAAAGUACUUUCAGCGGGGAGGAAGGCGGUGGAGUUAAUAACUUCACCGAUUGACGUUACCCGCAGAAGAAGCACCGGCUAACUCCGUGCCAGCAGCCGCCGUAA
This 504-nucleotide ribosomal RNA is filed under the name uncultured bacterium. Its description in RNAcentral is "partial 16S ribosomal RNA". It matches the Rfam family "Bacterial small subunit ribosomal RNA", at positions 29 to 523 of the family's 1533-position model. The record is from RNAcentral.